Molecule: ribosomal RNA, 348 nt
Filed under: uncultured fungus
Lineage: Eukaryota; Fungi
Description: eukaryotic LSU rRNA
Rfam family: 5.8S ribosomal RNA (bases 1-71)
Source: RNAcentral
GUGAAUCAUCGAGUCUUUGAACGCACCUUGCGCUCCUUGGUAUUCCGAGGAGCAUGCCUGUUUGAGUGUCAUGAAAUCAUCAACCCCCCCUCUCUCUGUCUCUUCGGAGACUUCGGAGGGGUGGCUUGGACUUGGGGAUCUGCCGGCCCUUCGGGGUCGGCUUCCCUUGAAUGCAUUAGCCAGACUUCGGUUCGCAGCGGCUUAGCGGUGUGAUAAUAUCUUCACUGCGGCCGGCUCGGCAGUGUCAAGUUCGGCUUCUAAUCGUCCGUCUCGGACAACUUCAUUGACAAUCUGACCUCAAAUCAGGUAGGACUACCCGCUGAACUUAAGCAUAUCAAUAAGCGGAGG